CAAUAAGCGGAGGAAAAGAAACCAACAGGGAUUGCCUCAGUAACGGCGAGUGAAGCGGCAACAGCUCAGAUUUGGAAUCUGGCCCCCUCGGGGGCCCGAGUUGUAAUCUGGAGAGGAUGCUUCUGGCGCGGCGCCUGGCGAGUUCCCUGGAACGGGACGCCGGAGAGGGUGAGAGCCCCGUACUCCAGGACGCCUAGCCUCUGUGAAGCUCCUUCGACGAGUCGAGUAGUUUGGGAAUGCUGCUCUAAAUGGGAGGUAAAUUUCUUCUAAAGCUAAAUACCGGCCAGAGACCGAUAGCGCACAAGUAGAGUGAUCGAAAGAUGAAAAGCACUUUGAAAAGAGGGUCAAACAGUACGUGAAAUUGUUGAAAGGGAAGCGCCCGUGGCCAGACUUGCGCCCCGCGGCUCACCCGGCGGACUCCGCCGGGGCACGCCGCGGGGUGCAGGCCAGCAUCGGCUCUUCCAGGGGGACAAGGACGGCGGGAACGUGGCUCCUCCGGGAGUGUUAUAGCCCGCCGCGCCAUGCCCCUGGGGGGGCCGAGG
RNAcentral lists this ribosomal RNA (542 nucleotides) under Dryadomyces quercus-mongolicae. Its description in RNAcentral is "LSU rRNA". It matches the Rfam family "Eukaryotic large subunit ribosomal RNA", at positions 44 to 591 of the family's 3401-position model. The record is from RNAcentral. Lineage: Eukaryota; Fungi; Ascomycota; Sordariomycetes; Ophiostomatales; Ophiostomataceae.